This is a non-coding RNA of Heterocephalus glaber (naked mole-rat), 46 nucleotides long. The record is from Rfam. Lineage: Eukaryota; Metazoa; Chordata; Mammalia; Rodentia; Bathyergidae.
CAAAAGGUGUUUCUAAACACUACAGUAAUCUAAAUUAUGAUCUCAU